RNAcentral lists this ribosomal RNA (492 nucleotides) under uncultured bacterium. RNAcentral's name for it is "partial 16S ribosomal RNA". It matches the Rfam family "Bacterial small subunit ribosomal RNA", at positions 29 to 507 of the family's 1533-position model. The record is from RNAcentral.
AGUGAACGCUGGCGGUAGGCCUAACACAUGCAAGUCGAACGGCAGCACAGUAAGAGCUUGCUCUUACGGGUGGCGAGUGGCGGACGGGUGAGGAAUACAUCGGAAUCUACUUUUUCGUGGGGGAUAACGUAGGGAAACUUACGCUAAUACCGCAUACGACCUACGGGUGAAAGCAGGGGAUCUUCGGACCUUGCGCGAUUGAAUGAGCCGAUGACGGAUUAGCUAGUUGGCGGGGUAAAGGCCCACCAAGGCGACGAUCCGUAGCUGGUCUGAGAGGAUGAUCAGCCACACUGGAACUGAGAAACGGUCCAGACUCCUACGGGAGGCAGCAGUGGGGAAUAUUGGACAAUGGGCGCAAGCCUGAUCCAGCCAUACCGCGUGGGUGAAGAAGGCCUUCGGGUUGUAAAGCCCUUUUGUUGGGAAAGAAAAGCAGCAGGUUAAUACCCCGCUGUUCUGACGGUACCCAAAGAAUAAGCACCGGCUAACUUCGUG